GGGGUUGUAGCUCAGUGGUAGAGCGCAUGCCUAGCAUGUGUGAGGCCCUGGGUUCGAUCCUCAGCACCA
RNAcentral lists this transfer RNA (69 nucleotides) under Ictidomys tridecemlineatus (thirteen-lined ground squirrel). RNAcentral describes it as "Spermophilus tridecemlineatus (thirteen-lined ground squirrel) tRNA". It matches the Rfam family "tRNA". Rfam says of the family: Transfer RNA (tRNA) molecules are approximately 80 nucleotides in length. Their secondary structure includes four short double-helical elements and three loops (D, anti-codon, and T loops). The record is from Rfam by way of RNAcentral. Lineage: Eukaryota; Metazoa; Chordata; Mammalia; Rodentia; Sciuridae.